AGCUUUAUAUUCAUCCAAUGAUUAUAGAAUGCAAUUCUAUAGGAGUAGCUAAAACUACUAAGGCUU
This 66-nucleotide transfer RNA is filed under the name Cyrtonotula longialata. RNAcentral's name for it is "tRNA-Cys". Lineage: Eukaryota; Metazoa; Arthropoda; Insecta; Blattodea; Blaberidae. The record is from RNAcentral.